GAAAUGCGAUAAGUAAUGUGAAUUGCAGAAUUCCGUGAAUCAUCGAAUCUUUGAACGCACAUUGCACUCUGCGGCCAUUCCGCAGAGUAUGCCUGUUUGAGUAUCAGAAACCCCAUCUCACCCAACCUUUGCGGGCUGGAUACAGUGAGGAGAUGAGUGCUCUUUUUACUGCCUUGCGCUGUGAAAAGUCGCUUGAAAUGCAGAGAAACUGGGAAAACCGCUAUGCCCAUGGCUAAAUAACGAUGGUUACAUCGCCUUCCAGCUUUGGGUGGUUUUUCUCAGGCGGCUCAGUGAUGAGCUACCUUUUUUAUAUUUAAAUCUUGAUCUCAAAUCAGGCAAGACUACCCGCUGAACUUAA
Molecule: unclassified non-coding RNA, 358 nt
Filed under: uncultured fungus
Lineage: Eukaryota; Fungi
Description: sequence contains ITS1
Rfam family: 5.8S ribosomal RNA (bases 1-106)
Source: RNAcentral